AUGUCUCCGUUGUAUUCCAAUUACUAUUUCAUUAGCAAGAAUCACUUUUUCUCCUUGCUUUUCAGCUUUAUCUACUGUGAAAAGGAUGCAACAUUUGUCAGUGCAAGGGGACUUCUCUCAAGCAGUCCUUUAAGGAGAGAAAUAGAACCUUCAUCAGCAGUACAGAAUCUCGAAGAAGUAAUGUAUUGUUUUCUUGAAAGCCCCGAAGCUAAGCAAUUCCAAGAAUGUUUGGCAAAGACCUUUGGAGAAGAGUGAGGUGGGGGCGGGCGCGCGCGCGGCGGAAGAGAGCGAAAGAAGAGUGUGAGAAUUUUUUUUUUGUCUCAGGUCCUUUAAGGAGAGAAAUAGAACCUUCAUCAGCAGUACAGAAUCUCGAAGAAGUAAUGUAUUGUUUUCUUGAAAGCCCCGAAGCUAAGCAAUUCCAAGAAUGUUUGGCAAAGACCUUUGGAGAAGAGUGAGGUGGGGGCGGGCGCGCGCGCGGCGC
RNAcentral lists this long non-coding RNA (481 nucleotides) under Sus scrofa (pig). Its description in RNAcentral is "lncRNA (ENSSSCG00005030653.1)". The record is from RNAcentral. Lineage: Eukaryota; Metazoa; Chordata; Mammalia; Artiodactyla; Suidae.